UGGGGAAUAUUGCACAAUGGGCGCAAGCCUGAUGCAGCCAUGCCGCGUGUAUGAAGAAGGCCUUCGGGUUGUAAAGUACUUUCAGUCGGGAGGAAGGUGGUAAGGUUAAUAACCUUAUCAAUUGACGUUACCGACAGAAGAAGCACCGGCUAACUCCGUGCCAGCAGCCGCGGUAAUACGGAGGGUGCAAGCGUUAAUCGGAAUUACUGGGCGUAAAGCGCACGCAGGCGGUUGAUUGAGUCAGAUGUGAAAUCCCCGGGCUUAACCCGGGAAAUGCAUCUGAUACUGGUCAGCUAGAGUCUUGUAGAGGGGGGUAGAAUUCCAUGUGUAGCGGUGAAAUGCGUAGAGAUGUGGAGGAAUACCGGUGGCGAAGGCGGCCCCCUGGACAAAGACUGAAGCUCAGGUGCGAAAGCGUGGGGAGCAAACAGG
RNAcentral lists this ribosomal RNA (429 nucleotides) under Chloroflexota bacterium. Its description in RNAcentral is "Chloroflexi bacterium partial 16S ribosomal RNA". It matches the Rfam family "Bacterial small subunit ribosomal RNA", at positions 355 to 776 of the family's 1533-position model. Lineage: Bacteria; Bacillati; Chloroflexota. The record is from RNAcentral.